This 760-nucleotide ribosomal RNA is filed under the name uncultured marine haptophyte. Its description in RNAcentral is "bacterial SSU rRNA". It matches the Rfam family "Bacterial small subunit ribosomal RNA", at positions 543 to 1312 of the family's 1533-position model. Lineage: Eukaryota; Haptophyta. The record is from RNAcentral.
AUCCGGAAUCAUUGGGCGUAAAGCGCCUGUAGGUUGUUUAAUAAGUCUGUUGUUAAAGACUGGGGCUUAACCCCAGGAAAGCAAUGGAAACUACUAGACUAGAGUAUGGUAGGGGUAAAGGGAAUUUCUAGUGUAGCGGUGAAAUGCGUAGAUAUUAGAAAGAACACCGGUGGCGAAAGCGCUUUACUGGACCAUUACUGACACUCAGAGGCGAAAGCUAGGGUAGCCAAAGGGAUUAGAUACCCCUGUAGUCCUAGCCGUAAACGAUGGAUACUAGAUGUUGCGCUUAUUGUGCAGUGUCGUAGCUAACGCGUUAAGUAUCCCGCCUGGGGAGUACGAUCGCAAGGUUGAAACUCAAAGGAAUUGACGGGGGCCCGCACAAGCGGUGGAGCAUGUGGUUUAAUUCGAUGCAACGCGAAGAACCUUACCAGGGCUUGACAUACUGCAAAUUUUCUUGAAAGAGAAAAGUGCCUUCGGGAAUGCAGAUACAGGUGGUGCAUGGCUGUCGUCAGCUCGUGUCGUGAGAUGUCGGGUUAAGUCCCGCAACGAGCGCAACCCUCGUUUUUAGUUGCCAUUUUAUGGGUUCUCUAGAAAGACUGCCGGUGACAAACCGGAGGAAGGUGGGGAUGACGUCAAGUCAGCAUGCCCCUUAUGCCCUGGGCUACACACGUGCUACAAUGGCUGAGACAAAGAGUCGCGAAUUCGCGAGAAUCAGCUAAUCUCAUAAACUUAGUCUAAGUUCAGAUUGUAGGCUGCAACU